UACGUAGGGGGCAAGCGUUAUCCGGAAUCAUUGGGCGUAAAGCGCGUGUAGGCGGUUCCGUAAGUCCGCUCUGAAAGCCCAGGGCUCAACCCUGGGAGGCGGGUGGAUACUACGGAACUGGAGUACGGAAGAGGAGAUUGGAAUUCCUGGUGUAGCGGUGAAAUGCGCAGAUAUCAGGAGGAACACCAACGGCGAAGGCAGCUCUCUGGGACGUUACUGACGCUGAGACGCGAAAGCGUGGGGAGCAAACAGG
This 253-nucleotide ribosomal RNA is filed under the name uncultured bacterium. RNAcentral's name for it is "partial 16S ribosomal RNA". It matches the Rfam family "Bacterial small subunit ribosomal RNA", at positions 524 to 776 of the family's 1533-position model. The record is from RNAcentral.